Small nucleolar RNA from Panicum virgatum (switchgrass), 136 nucleotides. RefSeq annotates it as small nucleolar RNA Z247. NCBI's taxonomy places the organism in Eukaryota, Viridiplantae, Streptophyta, Magnoliopsida, Poales, Poaceae. The transcript has a single exon. The record is from RefSeq and is a predicted model, not a curated record.
AAACUUGAAGAUGAUGAUAUCAUUGAUUAUAUUCUCAAUGGGUUAGAUGCUGAUUACAACCCCUUCGUUUCAUCUAUAUCUGUCAAGGAUCAUGUUACCUUGAGUGAUCUAUAUGGUCAAUUACUCACCUAUGAGG